This 253-nucleotide ribosomal RNA is filed under the name uncultured bacterium. RNAcentral describes it as "partial 16S ribosomal RNA". It matches the Rfam family "Bacterial small subunit ribosomal RNA", at positions 524 to 776 of the family's 1533-position model. The record is from RNAcentral.
UACGUAGGGGGCUAGCGUUGUCCGGAAUCAUUGGGCGUAAAGAGCGUGUAGGCGGCUCGGUAAGUCCGCUGUGCAAGUCCAGGGCUCAACCCUGGAAUGCCAGUGGAAACUGUCGAGCUAGAGUCCGGAAGAGGCGAGUGGAAUUCCUGGUGUAGCGGUGAAAUGCGCAGAUAUCAGGAGGAACACCAAUGGCGAAGGCAGCUCGCUGGGACGGUACUGACGCUGAGACGCGAAAGCGUGGGGAGCAAACAGG